AGCAAGCAUGCUGGGAAAACAAGAGUGAGCAGGAGAUAACAUCACUUUUAAUUCUCCACUUCCGAGUGGGUGGAGCAGGAGACAGGACCCUGGACUGGUUUUAGACAAAAUCUGAAUUUGUGUCCUGAUCGUCUUUAAACAAGAGGAGAAUUUGUGUCCUGGUCUGUAAGACAAGAAGGUCCCUUACUGACAUAGUAGGCUCCUGAGAGCCCACAGGGACACUGCCCUAGGAAGGGCUGAGGAAAGGGGAAACUACCUGCUGCCUUUAUUCAGGAUUUUCCAAGUUCUAGAGUCUGACCUAGGCUCAGAAGCAGACCAAGUUUGGAGGAAGAGAACAGAGGUUGCCAGGAAACCAUCACAAAUGUGAGCUGGAAGGAGUCACCAUGGCUGUUAUGGGGAGGAGCCAUUGGAGCUGCUGAGAACCCGCCCAGGAUGGAGAGUUCACUGAUUGCUGGAGAUUAGCAUUGAAGAGAUGGCUCCACUGGACUACUUCAUGGGCUUAUCGGACUUGCUCCUCCCUGGGCAUCUCAGCAGGCAGCUUGAGUCUCCAUCACUUUCAGGUUCAGUCCUUUACUGGGCUAAUUGCUGAGAUCCUGAGUUUAGGAUUUUCAGAAACCUCUCAAGUUCUGCUACUUCCCCGGGGCUCUGUGUUUUUUCUUCUCUACCUCCUAGCCAAUGUUAAUCUCUUACAGGCAAUGGAAAUGGCAAGGCAGAGAGAGACAAACCCUCUUUUACUCGGUUCUGAGGUCUUUUCUUUUACUACCUCUCAAAAAACCUCACUCAAGCUUAUGAUGAGUAAUAAAAUCCUUCUCUCUGCUGGCUAAGCCUUUUAACUGUCCAGUAAUCACAAAACUAUUCUGAACCCCAAAAUUAGCUCAAAGUUUUCUAGUUAAUGAUAUACAAAUGACCAACUGUGACAUGAUUUUGCUG
This 930-nucleotide long non-coding RNA is filed under the name Vombatus ursinus (common wombat). RNAcentral describes it as "lncRNA (ENSVURG00010009703.1)". Lineage: Eukaryota; Metazoa; Chordata; Mammalia; Diprotodontia; Vombatidae. The record is from RNAcentral.